This 253-nucleotide ribosomal RNA is filed under the name uncultured bacterium. RNAcentral describes it as "partial 16S ribosomal RNA". It matches the Rfam family "Bacterial small subunit ribosomal RNA", at positions 524 to 776 of the family's 1533-position model. The record is from RNAcentral.
UACGUAGGUGGCAAGCGUUGUCCGGAUUUACUGGGCGUAAAGGGCGUGCAGGCGGUCUGUUAAGUGCAGGGUGAAAGCUCCCGGCUCAACUGGGAGAGGUCCUUGCAUACUGGCGGACUUGAGGGGGGUAGAGGAAAGUGGAAUUCCCGGUGUAGUGGUGAUAUGCGUAGAUAUCGGGAGGAACACCUGUGGCGAAGGCGGCUUUCUGGGCCCUACCUGACGCUGAGGCACGAAAGCGUGGGGAGCAAACAGG